AUGGAGGGCUGGUUAAGUUUGUGUUUCAUAGCACUAUGCACGCUAGUGGCCCUUUGGUUUAGCAAGCUUUCUUGUGGAAACAGAAAGCCACGGCUGCCUCCUGGGCCAUGGACUCUUCCGAUCAUCGGCAGCCUCCACCAAGUCGCCAGUGUGCUCCCGCACCGCAGGAUGAUGGACUUGUCACGCCGGUAUGGGCCGCUGAUGCACCUUAUGCUCGGCGAGGUCCCCACGGUGAUCGUCUCCAGCGCCGAGGCGGCGGCGUUGGUGAUGAAGACCAACGACCUCGCCUUCGCUGGCCGGCCGCACAGUGCGACGCUGGACAUCUUCGGCUGCAGCGGGAGGGGCAUCGUCUUCGCCCCCUACGGUGACCCAUGGCGCCAGAUGCGCAAGGUCUGCACCAUGGAGCUCCUCAGCUCCAAGCAGGUGAAGCGUAUGGACGCCAUCAGGCCAGAGCAGGUGGGCAACCUUCUCCGUUAUGUCGCGGCCGCAGCAUCCACGGGCGCCGCCGUCGAUGUCAGUGAGAAGGUGAUGGCGCUCAGCAACGACGUGGUAUCGCGGGCGGUGUUCGGCGGCAAGUUCCCGCAGCAGGAGGAGUACCUACGAGAGCUGGAUGAGGCGUUCGUGCUGCUAGGUGGUUUCUGCCUCGUCGACCUCUUCCCGUCAUCGCGGCUGGUGCGGUGGCUGAGCAACGGUGAGCGCCACAUGAGGAGGAGCUAUGGCCACAUCCAACGUAUCAACGCCGACGUCAUCAAGGGGCGCAAGGCGGCGCGAGCUGCCGCACAGGACGAUGCCUCCAGCACCGACGAUGAUGACUUGCUGGACGUGCUACUCAGGCUGCAGGAGAAGGACGCGUUCACAUUCCCUAUGACCACGGAGAGUAUAGGCGCCGUCUUAUUUGACAUAUUUGCAGGUGCCACUCAGACCACGGGAGUUGCCUUGGAGUGGGCGAUGGCUGAGCUUGUCCGUCAUCCCGAAACCAUGGCCAAAGCACAGCUUGAGAUCCGAGAGGUGCUAGGUCAAGGUCGAGCUGUGUUUACUAAUAGUGACCUCGCCGGACUCCAUUACAUGCGGAUGAUCAUUAAGGAGGUUCUUAGAUUGCAUCCACCAGGUCCUUUGAUCCCCCGCAGGGCCAGGGAAGACCGUAAAGUUAUGGGUUUUGACAUGCUUGAAGGCACCAAUGUAUACAUUAAUGCGUUUGCAGUUUCUAGGGAUCCAAAUUGUUGGGAAAGUCCUGAAGAGUUUAAGCCUGAAAGGUUUGAGAACAAUAACAUGGAUUACAAUGGGACAUACUUUGAAUUCACCCCCUUCGGUGCUGGUCGGAGGCAGUGCCCUGGCAUACUUUUUGGCACGUCAACCAUGGAGAUCGCUUUGGCAAAUCUUCUCUACCACUUCGACUGGGUGCUUCCUGACAAGGCAAAUCCAGAAUUUUUGGACAUGACCGAGAAAUACGGGAUCAUCGUAGGAAGAAAAUAUGACCUACAAUUGAUACCCAUUUCCCAUGGAGGUUUCCAUGACAUAUAG
This 1521-nucleotide ribosomal RNA is filed under the name Triticum aestivum (bread wheat). RNAcentral's name for it is "partial small subunit ribosomal RNA". Lineage: Eukaryota; Viridiplantae; Streptophyta; Magnoliopsida; Poales; Poaceae. The record is from RNAcentral.